UCUCCGUAGGUGAACCUGCGGAGGGAUCAUUACAGAGUUCAUGCCCUACCGGGUAGAUCUCCCACCCUAUGUUAUUAUUACUUUGUUGCUUUGGCGGGCCGUUAGGCUCCGGCCCGACUACCGGCCCCGGCUGGUAAGCGCCCGCCAGAGGACCCAAAACCCUAAAUAUUAGUGUCGUCUGAGUACUAUAUAAUAGUUAAAACUUUCAACAACGGAUCUCUUGGUUCUGGCAUCGAUGAAGUACGCAGC
This 249-nucleotide unclassified non-coding RNA is filed under the name plant metagenome. RNAcentral describes it as "partial contains small subunit ribosomal RNA, internal transcribed spacer 1, and 5.8S ribosomal RNA". The stretch from base 201 to 249 matches the Rfam family "5.8S ribosomal RNA", at positions 1 to 49 of the family's 154-position model. The record is from RNAcentral.